Molecule: long non-coding RNA, 202 nt
Filed under: Elaeis guineensis (African oil palm)
Lineage: Eukaryota; Viridiplantae; Streptophyta; Magnoliopsida; Arecales; Arecaceae
Description: long non-coding RNA (EGUI_LNC029459)
Source: RNAcentral
GAUAGCAGGUCAGGGAUAAAUUAUCAAACCUCAUCAUCAGUUAUAUGAUAGAUUUUUGAUCAGUUCAAGUCCAAUUGUGAUCCUUAUGAAAACUCUUUUCUAUCAAUCAUACUGCUAUGGCCACAGACUCUCAGAUUUAACCUCUUAAAUCUUAUAGGACUACUCUCUAUCAAGGUCGAUAGAUUUCAUCUUGAUGCAUACC